GAGGAACGCUGGCGGCGCGCCUAACACAUGCAAGUCGAACGGUUAAAGCACCUUUUAGGUGUGUAUAAAGUGGCGAACGGCUGAGUAACACGUGGGCAACCUGCCCUCCUCUUGGGGAUAGCCUCGGGAAACCGAGGAUAAUACCCGAUACUUCAAUGUGGCCGCAUGACGACAUUGAGAAAGCUUUUGCGGAGAAGGAUGGGCCCGCGGCCUGUUAGCUUGUUGGUGGGGUAGAGGCCUACCAAGGCAAUGAUGGGUAGCUGGGUUGAGAGACCGACCAGCCAGAUUGGGACUGAGACACGGCCCAGACUCCUACGGGAGGCAGCAGUGGGGAAUCUUGCACAAUGGGCGAAAGCCUGAUGCAGCGACGCCGCGUGCGGGACGAAGGCCUUCGGGUUGUAAACCGCUUUCAGCAGGGACGAGGCGAAAGUGACGGUACCUGCAGAAGAAGCCCCCGCUAACUAC
RNAcentral lists this ribosomal RNA (465 nucleotides) under Lancefieldella rimae. RNAcentral's name for it is "bacterial SSU rRNA". It matches the Rfam family "Bacterial small subunit ribosomal RNA", at positions 28 to 504 of the family's 1533-position model. Lineage: Bacteria; Bacillati; Actinomycetota; Coriobacteriia; Coriobacteriales; Atopobiaceae. The record is from RNAcentral.